Long non-coding RNA from Hibiscus syriacus, 143 nucleotides. RefSeq lists it as uncharacterized. The record is from RefSeq and is a predicted model, not a curated record. NCBI's taxonomy places the organism in Eukaryota, Viridiplantae, Streptophyta, Magnoliopsida, Malvales, Malvaceae. The transcript has 3 exons.
UAGACACUUGAUACUCAUGCUCGACAUCUUUGAGUGCAACUAAUGAACUUUGUGUCCAGCAAUCAUAGACAAUAGACCGGAUGGAAAGGACUUUGCUGGGGAGGAUAUAAUUCAAGUCGGGUGUGUGCGUUUCCAUUUGACAC